CUUCAGAACUUUAGUACAUGUUUCAGGAAAUUCAAGUGUUCCGAUUUUCACUUUCUUUUUUGAUUUUUUGUCCUUCUGUAAAAGCGAACGCUUCCCCGUGGAGUCUUCCUCUUCACUUCCUUUGGUCUGUGACAGACAUGUGAGAUUGGUUUGAGUUCCAUGGCUGACUUUUACAGCCUGACAUCGAGAAGCCACUCGCCAUGAUUGUUCAUAAUAAGGCCUCUUUACUGUAGAAUGAUGGCUAGAUUUAUCUAAGGCCACUGAAAAGUCAUCAGUAUCUGAAAUGCCACCUGCGUUAUCGUCACAAUCUGAAAGAACUUGAAUCGCUGUGGUGUCCUGACUUGCGUCAGCCCAGGUUCAAAACCCUUGGUGGAGCUGUCUCCUUUGACUCCAGCAGCAUCCUCAGUCGCUUCCUCAGAAACAGAAUCAUCAACAGGAACCACUUCAGGAGGUGACGCAGUAUUUGUAAGAAGUCUCUCAUUUUGUGUUGAUCUAAAAAGCAAGGGGGGAAAUCCAUAAAAAUAUUCUGAUAUAUAUUUAAAAUGUUAUAAUAAAGGCACAAUAACUGUAUUUUAUUUCUAUCCUGGGCCCCACUGUUAUAGAACAAGGAACCAAGGCAAUCACAUGAGACUGUACUUCCCUCAGGGAUGGAAAUCAGUAGAGAAGGUGGAGACAGCUCCAUCAAUUGCUACUUAAUAAACACAAAUGGUUCCUAAACAUAAAAAAACUGUUAAAAAAAAAAAAGGAAAGGAAAAAGAAAUAGCCAUCUA
Molecule: long non-coding RNA, 770 nt
Organism: Canis lupus familiaris (dog)
Lineage: Eukaryota; Metazoa; Chordata; Mammalia; Carnivora; Canidae
Exons: 2
Source: RefSeq, a predicted model, not a curated record